Molecule: ribosomal RNA, 253 nt
Filed under: uncultured bacterium
Lineage: Bacteria
Also listed under: 1 other name
Description: partial 16S ribosomal RNA
Rfam family: Bacterial small subunit ribosomal RNA
Source: RNAcentral
UACAGAGGUCCCAAGCGUUGUUCGGAUUCACUGGGCGUAAAGGGUGCGUAGGUGGUGAGGUAAGUCGGAUGUGAAAUCUCGGAGCUCAACUCCGAAAUGGCAUUGGAAACUACCUCGCUAGAGGAUCGGAGGGGAGACUGGAAUUCUCGGUGUAGCAGUGAAAUGCGUAGAUAUCGAGAGGAACACCAGUGGCGAAGGCGAGUCUCUGGACGAUUCCUGACGCUGAGGCACGAAAGCCAGGGGAGCAAACGGG